UGGGGUGUAGCUCAGUGGUAGAGCACAUGCUAAGUGUGCUUGAGGUCCUGGGUUCAAUCCCCAGUACCUCCA
This 72-nucleotide transfer RNA is filed under the name Camelus bactrianus (Bactrian camel). It matches the Rfam family "tRNA". Rfam says of the family: Transfer RNA (tRNA) molecules are approximately 80 nucleotides in length. RNAcentral also lists the same sequence under 2 other names. The record is from Rfam by way of RNAcentral. Lineage: Eukaryota; Metazoa; Chordata; Mammalia; Artiodactyla; Camelidae.